AUGACUUGCCCCACAGCCUUCACCUGGUCCAGGGAUCCCAACUCCUUCAAAUCUUCCUUUUUUUCUUUCUUUUUUUUUUUUUUUCCCCUAGGGCAGCUAGAGCUUAGGCAUCUCACAUGUUGCACUUUUGUGUGGAACGCAGUUGUUACCUACAUUAAAGAUUUGAAGGAGUUGGGGAGUGAUACACUGUGGCUCAGCUGGUUAGGAACCCAACUAGUAUUCAUAAGGAUGCAGGUUCCAAUCCUGUCCUUACUCAGUGGAUUAAGGAUCUGGCGUUGCCGCAAGUGACAGCAUAGCUACAGAUAUGGCUUGGAUCUGGUGUUGCUGUGGCUGUGGUGUAGGCCAGUAGAUGCAGCUCUGAUUCGACCCCUGGCCCAGGAACUUCCAUAUGCUGCAGGCGCAGCCCUAAAGGGAUGGAAGGGAGGAACAAAGGAAGGAAGGAACGGAAGGAACGGAAAGGAAAGGAAAGGAAAGGAAGGAAGGAAGGAAGGAAGAAAGAAGAAAGAAAGAAAAGAAAAAGAAAAGGAAAGAAAGCGAGAGAGAGAGGGAGGGAGAAAGAAGAGAAAAGAAAAGAAAACAUCCUUGUCUGCACCCACAGCAAUAUCAGGACCGUCUCAACUCCAGGUCUGCCUCUCUGAUGGGACUGUAAGUUCCUGGAGGCUGGAAGUAAAGGGACUUGCUCAACAUCACGUGGCAAACGUACACGGAAUUGGAAUCCCCAAAGAUCGAAAAUCACUCAUCACUUUCCUGGUUCCUCUGAACUUGCCCCACACUUGUGUAGAAGCAAACUUGGAAGGAAGGCGGGAGGGAGGGUAGGAUGAAAGGCCUCCCAUUACGUAAUCAAAAAUGUUAAGAGUCAGUCUGCCGGAUGCUUAAGGAGGCCGUCCAGGAGGGGGGACCUCAAACUCAGACUUUCAAAGUCAUCUCAAGAUAACUCUACAGGCACGGAACAUGUACGCACUAAAAGCAUUAAUGUGAACAAUGUGUACAUUUUAAACACCUGUUGCUAAAAUCCUGUUUUGGCGUUUCUUCACUGUUUUUUAAAUACCGGCCCUGGCCACUUGGGAGUGGCCAUAAGGAUUCCUCAGACCUCUGGUCCCAGCAAAUGAAGCAAAUGUCAGCUAUCCCACCCAAAAACCAAAAAAAAAGGCAGGAGGGAAUCUUGGCAAAAUUCUAGCUGCGAUUACAGUUCUUUAGGGUCUUUAUGCUUCGUCCUCUCCCCCGUGCUUUGGAGGAGGGGUCCCAGGAGAAGUGAGUUACUAAGGCUCUUAGCCGGGAGGAGGGUCUCAGGUCUCUGCUCCUGUGGCGGACGUCUGUGGUUUCUCCACGUCCCGCUGGCUUGCAACAAAGACAGACACGGAGAACCUGUUCAUUGAGUCCUGGGUGAUUUUAUGUACACUUGUCUUCUCAUUUAUAUCUCACCCAGCUCUUUUAGAUAUUACUAUUAUUAUUACUAUGCCCAGUUUAUAGGCUAUAGACUCAAUGAGGUUAAGUUAAAAGCCAGGAAACGGCUGGGAGGGAAACUAGCUUGUUGUGAGACCUAAAUGAGAUAAUGUACCUAAAAGGCUCGACACGCAGUAAAUCAGCAACUAGCAGCUCUUACUAACAUAAGCAGAAGCCAACCAGCUCUGGGUAAUACAUUUCAUUCUUUAAAAGAGAAGAGGGGAGUUCCUGUCGUGGUGCAGUGGAAACGAAUCCAACUAGGAACCAUGAGGUUGCCGGUUCGAUCCCUGGCCUUACUCAGUGGGUUAAGGAUCCAGCGGUGCAUGAGCUGCGGUGUAGGUCGCAGAUGCCACUCGGAUCCCGCAUUGCUGUGGCUGUGGCAUGGGCUGACAGCUGUAGCUCCAAUGAGACCCCUAGCCUGGGAACCUCCAUAUGCCAUGGGUGCGGCCCUAAAAAAGGACAAAAGGCAAAAAAAAAAAAAAAAAAAGAGAGAGAGAGAGAGAGAAGGGGUAUAGAACUCUAUUCAAUAUUCUGUAAUAACCUACAUGGGAAAAAAAUCUGAAAAAUAAUGGAUAUGUGCAUAUGCAUAACUGAAUCACUUUGCUGUAGACCUGAAAUUAACACAACAUGGUAAAUCAACUAUACUUCAAAAUAAAAUUAAAUUUAAAUUUAAAAAAAAAAAAGGU
RNAcentral lists this long non-coding RNA (2129 nucleotides) under Sus scrofa (pig). RNAcentral's name for it is "lncRNA (ENSSSCG00015052799.1)". Lineage: Eukaryota; Metazoa; Chordata; Mammalia; Artiodactyla; Suidae. The record is from RNAcentral.